UGAAAGAAUGGUGUUUAAUCUAUUUAUAUGUAAGUUUUUGCGUGAUUUAAUUAUUGACUAAUUUAGUCUUUUGUUUAUAAUUUAUUCGCAGUAUGUAUUUUUAUAAAUUUAUGAGAGUAUGAUUUAGGGAUUUAUAAAAGAUUUAACAAAGCUUGUGCCAGCAGUUGCGGUUAUACAAGUAAUUCAACUAUUCUUUUUCAAUUUGUAGUUAUUUGAUUAAAGUUUUAUAAGCAUAUAAAUCUAUUAGGUGAAAUUAUAGAUUUUUUUAAUUAUUAAUUUUAAAUUAGAAGCUAUGAAAUUUAAUUGUUAAACUAGGAUUAGAUACCCUAUUAUAAUUAAAUGUUAAAGUUAAAUUAAAUUAGUAUUAGUUAUGAUCUUGAAAAUUAAAAAAUUUGGCGGUGCUUUAGUCUUUUCAGAGGAACCUGUCCUGUAAUCGAUAGUCCACGAUUAAUUUUACUUGUUCUAUUAAUUUGUAUAUCGUCGUAGUUGAGUAUUUCAGUAAGAAUAUCAAUAUUCAUGAUUAAUCAUUAUUAAUAAAAUCAGAUCAAGGUGCAGUUUAUGAACAAGGUUGAGAUGGGUUACAAUAAAUUUAUUUAUAUGGAUUUUCUUAUGAAAUUGAGCUUUGAAGGUGGAUUUGUAAGUAAUAAAUUUAAUUUAAUAUUUAUGACUUAAGCUCUAAAGCAUGCACAUAUUGCCCGUCGCUUUCAUAUAAGUUGAAAUAAGUCGUAACAAAGUAGAUGUACUGGAAAGUGUUUCUGGGAUCAA
RNAcentral lists this non-coding RNA (765 nucleotides) under Helochares sp. BMNH1425100. Lineage: Eukaryota; Metazoa; Arthropoda; Insecta; Coleoptera; Hydrophilidae. The record is from RNAcentral.